UGAUAGCGAUGAAGCGUGAGGUUGCUGCCGACGCAAAAACAUAAGCAAAGGCAGGUUUUCCGUGGAGCGAAUGUCAAGUUAGGAAACUGGCGACAA
Molecule: non-coding RNA, 96 nt
Filed under: uncultured Mediterraneibacter sp.
Lineage: Bacteria; Bacillati; Bacillota; Clostridia; Lachnospirales; Lachnospiraceae
Description: S10-Clostridia ribosomal protein leader
Rfam family: S10-Clostridia ribosomal protein leader
Source: RNAcentral